Molecule: ribosomal RNA, 440 nt
Filed under: uncultured bacterium
Lineage: Bacteria
Description: partial 16S ribosomal RNA
Rfam family: Bacterial small subunit ribosomal RNA
Source: RNAcentral
CCUACGGGAGGCAGCAGUGGGGAAUAUUGCACAAUGGGGGAAACCCUGAUGCAGCGACGCCGCGUGAGCGAUGAAGUAUUUCGGUAUGUAAAGCUCUAUCAGCAGGGAAGAAAAUGACGGUACCUGACUAAUAAGCCCCGGCUAACUACGUGCCAGCAGCCGCGGUAAUACGUAGGGGGCAAGCGUUAUCCGGAUUUACUGGGUGUAAAGGGAGCGUAGACGGCGAUUCAAGCCAGAUGUGAAAGCCCGGGGCUCAACCCCGGGACUGCAUAUGGAACUGUAUAGCUGGAGUGUCGUAGAGGCAGGCGGAAUGCCUGGUGUAGCGGUGAAAUGCGUAGAUAUUAGGAGGAACACCAGUGGCGAAGGCGGCCUGCUGGACGAUGACUGACGUUGAGGCUCGAAAGCGUGGGGAGCAAACAGGAUUAGAGACCCUUGUAGUC